Non-coding RNA from Trichechus manatus latirostris (Florida manatee), 71 nucleotides. Lineage: Eukaryota; Metazoa; Chordata; Mammalia; Sirenia; Trichechidae. The record is from the annotation of a RefSeq genome assembly.
ACAGUGGUGGUUCAGUGGUAGAAUUCUUGCCUUGUAUGCAGGGGACCUGGGUUCAGUUCCCAGCCAAUGUA